Molecule: long non-coding RNA, 633 nt
Organism: Nematostella vectensis (starlet sea anemone)
Lineage: Eukaryota; Metazoa; Cnidaria; Anthozoa; Actiniaria; Edwardsiidae
Exons: 2
Source: RefSeq, a predicted model, not a curated record
AUGCAAGCUCCGAGCUUCAUCGCAGCCAUCUUUGUUUGUCUCGAGGAAAGUUUUGGCGUUCGACGUCUGACCGAGGGAAACUAGUACGAGACAGACAGAGUGCGUCCAAAUCGAAGCUGGAAAGGCAACGCAUAGACUACUAAUGGACGAUGGGGGAAGGGGACGUGAGAUUUUGUUUCCAAGAUGGUGGCGGCUUAUUCCACAGGAAACCCAAAUCGACGCGAUGACUUAAGUCAGUGUUAGUAAAUAGAGUUAUAUUCUAUGUGCAUAGCUACAGGAGGACAACACAGGGUGUAUAUGCUCGGUUUUGACCACUGAAUGUUAUGGUGUGCCAGACUGUGAGCCGUCUUGAAAGUUAAGAAAGCAUAAAGAGAAGCAAUACGAACAAACUAAAAAGGUGACUUUGCAUGGAGUUUGGAUGCCCUGGCCUCCCCCAUACUACAGCAAGGUUUGCAUGUUCCUGAUUUUUGUAUCAGUUUGUGCAUUUAUGUUUAUCAGAGGCAUUCAAGCUGAAGAGAAAUAGCAUAAAUGUCAAUUCACCGUAAAAAAUUGAUUGAUAUCUGUUACUGUUUAUUGUUGGGGAGUAUUGCCAUGUUUAUAUAUUACAGUUCACCUUGCCAUGACAACCAAAAA